Molecule: ribosomal RNA, 274 nt
Filed under: uncultured bacterium
Lineage: Bacteria
Description: partial 16S ribosomal RNA
Rfam family: Bacterial small subunit ribosomal RNA
Source: RNAcentral
AUACGGAGGGUGCAAGCGUUAAUCGGAAUUACUGGGCGUAAAGCGCGCGUAGGCGGUUUGGUCAGUCGGAUGUGAAAGCCCUGGGCUCAACCCAGGAAUUGCAUUCGAUACUGCCUGACUAGAGUAUGGUAGAGGGAAGUGGAAUUUCCGGUGUAGCGGUGAAAUGCGUAGAUAUCAGAAGGAACACCAGUGGCGAAGGCGACUUCCUGGGCCAAUACUGACGCUCAGGUGCGAAAGCUUGGGGAGCAAACAGGAUUAGAAACCCCAGUAGUCC